This 305-nucleotide ribosomal RNA is filed under the name uncultured bacterium. RNAcentral's name for it is "partial 16S ribosomal RNA". It matches the Rfam family "Bacterial small subunit ribosomal RNA", at positions 508 to 808 of the family's 1533-position model. The record is from RNAcentral.
ACAGCAGUCGCACGGUAAUACGAAGGGGGCUAGCGUUGUUCGGAAUCACUGGGCGUAAAGCGCACGUAGGCGGACACUUAAGUCAGAGGUGAAAUCCCAAGGCUCAACCUUGGAACUGCCUUUGAUACUGGGUGUCUUGAGGUCGAGAGAGGUGAGUGGAACUGCGAGUGUAGAGGUGAAAUUCGUAGAUAUUCGCAAGAACACCAGUGGCGAAGGCGGCUCACUGGCUCGAUUCUGACGCUGAGGUGCGAAAGCGUGGGGAGCAAACAGGAUUAGAUACCCCAGUAGUCCCUGUCUCUUAUACA